CAGUAGCCGCGGGAAUACGAAGGGGGCUAGCGUUGUUCGGAAUUACUGGGCGUAAAGCGCACGUAGGCGGCCUUGUAAGUUAGAGGUGAAAGCCCGGAGCUCAACUCCGGAAUUGCCUUUAAGACUGCAGAGCUAGCAGGUGAGAGAGGUGAGUGGAAUUCCGAGUGUAGAGGUGAAAUUCGUAGAUAUUCGGAAGAACACCAGUGGCGAAGGCGGCUCACUGGCUCAUACUGGACGCUGAGGUGCGAAAGCGUGGGGAGCAAACAGGAUUAGAUACCCCCGUAGUCCCUGUCUCUUAUAC
This 301-nucleotide ribosomal RNA is filed under the name uncultured bacterium. Its description in RNAcentral is "partial 16S ribosomal RNA". It matches the Rfam family "Bacterial small subunit ribosomal RNA", at positions 509 to 807 of the family's 1533-position model. The record is from RNAcentral.